CGGCUGUAUCCACUUAUCCAGGCCUUGCAUCCGACUCUUGCGGGAAAGAUUACAGGCAUGCUGCUGGAGAUUGACAACUCUGAACUACUGCACAUGCUCGAGUCUCCAGAGUCCCUGCACUCCAAGGUUGAAGAGGCUGUAGCGGUGCUUCAAGCUCAUCAAGCCAAGGAACUGUCGGCAAAGUGAGGGAGCUUGUAAGGCAGGCAUGCUCACUGAAGGUCUGUGAGGGUUGUUCCAGAGAACAAGGAAAAGAAAACAGCACUUAAGAGUCAUGCUAU
Molecule: long non-coding RNA, 278 nt
Organism: Sinocyclocheilus rhinocerous
Lineage: Eukaryota; Metazoa; Chordata; Actinopteri; Cypriniformes; Cyprinidae
Exons: 3
Source: RefSeq, a predicted model, not a curated record